AUUGAACGCUGGCGGCAGGCUUAACACAUGCAAGUCGAGCGGGGGAAGGUAGCUUGCCACUGGACCUAGCGCCGGACGGGUGAGUAAUGCUUAGGAAUCUGCCUAUUAGUGGGGGACAACAUCUCGAAAGGGAUGCUAAUACCGCAUACGUCCUACGGGAGAAAGCAGGGGAUCUUCGGACCUUGCGCUAAUAGAUGAGCCUAAGUCGGGUUAGCUAGUUGGUGGGGUAAAGGCCUACCAAGGCGACGAUCUGUAGCGGGUCUGAGAGGAUGAGCGGCCAAACUGGGACUGCGACACGGCCCCGACUCCUGCGGGAGGCAGCAGUGGGGAAUAUUGGACAAUGGGGGGAACCCUGAUCCAGCCAUGCCGCGUGUGUGAAGAAGGCCUUAUGGUUGUAAAGCACUUUAAGCGAGGAGGAGGCUACUUUAGUUAAUACCUAGAGAUAGUGGACGUUACUCGCAGAAUAAGCACCGGCUAACUCUGUGCCAGCAGCCGCCGUAA
This 501-nucleotide ribosomal RNA is filed under the name uncultured bacterium. Its description in RNAcentral is "partial 16S ribosomal RNA". It matches the Rfam family "Bacterial small subunit ribosomal RNA", at positions 30 to 523 of the family's 1533-position model. The record is from RNAcentral.